AUACUUACCUGCAAAUGAGCUACCGUGAUUCGUAAGAUAGGCGGUUCACCCAGGGCGAGGCUCAGGCCAUUGCACUGGUGGCUGUGCUUGACCCCUGCGAAUUUCCCAAAAUGCGGAAAUCGGCGUUCGGUACACUUAAUUUAUGGUAGUGGGGUACGUGUGAGCUGCG
Non-coding RNA from Salvelinus sp. IW2-2015, 169 nucleotides. The record is from RefSeq and is a predicted model, not a curated record. Lineage: Eukaryota; Metazoa; Chordata; Actinopteri; Salmoniformes; Salmonidae.